GCUUGAGGCUGAGACGCCAGCAUGAGCCUGUGGUCCCAGCUGAAGCAGGAGGAGGAUUUGAGGACUUUGGGGCCAGCCUGGGAACAUAGUGAGUUUGCACUGUCACUCAGCACCAUGUUUCGGACCUUCACCCAGACAGACACACAGACAGACAGGAGCCUGUAACUACAGAUCACCCAUCUGAACUGCUGCGAGUAUUUCCUGAUGUGAGACUGCCUUGGUGGAAAGACAUUCGACUGCCUGCACUUUUUUUUUUUUCCUGUGACAUCUAUGGAUUUCUCUCUGGUGCAGAGCACUUUUUCUAGGGCAUGUCCCCAGGGACGGCUCUGCUGCAUCAUAGGGUGUGCAUCGUCACAUCAGGCACUGCCAAAAUGUUUCCCAAAAUG
This 386-nucleotide long non-coding RNA is filed under the name Mus pahari (shrew mouse). Its description in RNAcentral is "lncRNA (MGP_PahariEiJ_G0002562.1)". The record is from RNAcentral. Lineage: Eukaryota; Metazoa; Chordata; Mammalia; Rodentia; Muridae.